GGAGAGCAUCCUACGGGAGGCAGCAGUGGGGGAAUAUUGCACAAUGGGCGCAAGCCUGAUGCAGCCAUGCCGCGUGUAUGAAGAAGGCCUUCGGGUUGUAAAGUACUUUCAGCAGUGAGGAAGGUGGGUAUGUUAAUAGCAUAUUCAUUUGACGUUAGCUGCAGAAGAAGCACCGGCUAACUCCGUGCCAGCAGCCGCGGUAAUACGGAGGGUGCGAGCGUUAAUCGGAAUUACUGGGCGUAAAGCGCAUGCAGGUGGUUUGUUAAGUCAGAUGUGAAAGCCCGGGGCUCAACCUCGGAAAUUGCAUUUGAAACUGGCAAACUAGAGUACUGUAGAGGGGGUAGAAUUUCAGGUGUAGCGGUGAAAUGCGUAGAGAUCUGAAGGAAUACCGGUGGCGAAGGCGGCCCCCUGGACAGAUACUGACACUCAGAUGCGAAACGCGUCGGGGAGCAAACAGGUAUUACGACUACCCGUGGUAG
This 479-nucleotide ribosomal RNA is filed under the name uncultured bacterium. RNAcentral describes it as "bacterial SSU rRNA". It matches the Rfam family "Bacterial small subunit ribosomal RNA", at positions 329 to 793 of the family's 1533-position model. The record is from RNAcentral.